UACCUUUGCACCACGUUUUAGGACAAACCUAUUGCGCUACAUAAUAAUCAUUUAAAGGAUAUUAGCAUG
Flavobacterium cauense R2A-7 is the source of this 69-nucleotide non-coding RNA. Lineage: Bacteria; Pseudomonadati; Bacteroidota; Flavobacteriia; Flavobacteriales; Flavobacteriaceae. The record is from Rfam.